GAGCACGUAGGUGGGUUUGUAAGUCAGAUGUGAAAGCCUUCUGUUCAACGGAAGAAUUGCAUCUGAAACUACGAGUCUUGAGUGUAGGAGGGGAGAAUGGAACUUCUGGUGGAGCGGUGAAAUGCGUAGAUAUCAGAAGGAACGCCGGCGGCGAAAGCGAUUCUCUGGCCUAUUACUGACACUCAGUGUGCGAAAGCUAGGGGAGCAAACGGGAUUAGAUACCCCGGUAGUCCUAGCCGUAAACGAUGGGCACUAAGUAGAGGGAAUUACCGAUAUUCUCUCUGCCGUAGCUAACGCAUUAAGUGCCCCGCCUGGGGAGUACGGCCGCAAGGCUAAAACUCAAAAGAAUUGACGGGGGCUCGCACAAGCGGUGGAGCAUGUGGCUUAAUUCGAUGCAACGCGAAAAACCUUACGGGGGCUUGACAUGAUAGAAGUAGGAACCCGAAAGGGUAACGAACGGUAUCCAGUCCGUAGCUAUUACAGGUGUUGCAUGGCUGUCGUCAGCUCGUGUCGUGAGACGUUGGGUUAAGUCCCCUAACGAGCGAAACCCUUGUUUUUAGUUGCCAGUGGGUUAUGCCGGGCACUCUAGAAAGACUGCCGUCGUCAAGACGGAGGAAGGUGGGGAUGACGUCAAGUCAUCAUGGCCCUUAUGCCCCGGGCUGCACACGUGCUACAAUGGUCGGUACAAACGGAAGCGAAGCCGAGAGGUGAAGCGAAUCC
Molecule: ribosomal RNA, 720 nt
Filed under: uncultured anaerobic ammonium-oxidizing bacterium
Lineage: Bacteria
Description: bacterial SSU rRNA
Rfam family: Bacterial small subunit ribosomal RNA
Source: RNAcentral